Molecule: long non-coding RNA, 217 nt
Filed under: Mytilus galloprovincialis (Mediterranean mussel)
Lineage: Eukaryota; Metazoa; Mollusca; Bivalvia; Mytilida; Mytilidae
Source: RNAcentral
UGUUUCUUAUGAUCAAAUUAAUCAGCCAAUCAAAAACGUUUUCUCUCAAGAUAAUUCUAACAUCCUAGAUUUUGAACUUGUGUUGAAUUCCUCUGUUUUUAAAAUCGUGAACAUGGCAAAUGUUUUUUCACCUGCAAGGAGGUUCUUACACAGAAUAAGAAUAAAAGCAUGGCUGAUUGACAAACUUCAAUGAUGCAGUACUACCAUAAAGAUAAUA